Molecule: long non-coding RNA, 217 nt
Organism: Cyprinus carpio (common carp)
Lineage: Eukaryota; Metazoa; Chordata; Actinopteri; Cypriniformes; Cyprinidae
Source: Ensembl
UAUUCAGUUGUAUUAGCCCAAUAUUGACUUGGUGAAAAGUGCAUCGAUGUGAUUGAGUUGUGAUGUAUGACAAUUGAUGACAAAUGAUCGUGAUCCAUGUGAAGUGUUUCUCCUCGUGUCAAAAACACGAUUUGUUGACUAAUCAUAAAGCAGGGGAGAAAGAAAAGUGCUUUAUAGGCCAUCUGUGAGAUCCAAAUUGUGUUCAUCAGUACAGAGU